Molecule: ribosomal RNA, 253 nt
Filed under: uncultured bacterium
Lineage: Bacteria
Description: partial 16S ribosomal RNA
Rfam family: Bacterial small subunit ribosomal RNA
Source: RNAcentral
AACGUAGGGGACAAGCGUUAUCCGGAUUUACUGGGCGUAAAGCGCCCGUAGGCGGCCUGACAAGUUGGACGUGAAAGCUCCUGGCUUAACUGGGAGAGGCUGUUCAAAACUGUCAAGCUAGAGUCUGGAAGAGGAGAGCGGAAUUCCCGGUGUAGUGGUGGAAUGCGUAGAGAUCGGGAGGAACACCAGUGGCGAAAGCGGCUCUCUGGUCCAAAACUGACGCUGAGGGGCGAAAGCGUGGGGAGCGAACGGG